GAACGGGGGAGAACCUUACCUACUCUUGACAUCCAGAGAACUUAGCAGAGAUGCUUUGGUGCCUUCGGGAACUCUGAGACAGGUGCUGCAUGGCUGUCGUCAGCUCGUGUUGUGAAAUGUUGGGUUAAGUCCCGCAACGAGCGCAACCCUUAUCCUUUGUUGCCAGCGGUCCGGCCGGGAACUCAAAGGAGACUGCCAGUGAUAAACUGGAGGAAGGUGGGGAUGACGUCAAGUCAUCAUGGCCCUUACGAGUAGGGCUACACACGUGCUACAAUGGCGCAUACAAAGAGAAGCGACCUCGCGAGAGCAAGCGGACCUCAUAAAGUGCGUCGUAGUCCGGAUUGGAGUCUGCAACUCGACUCCAUGAAGUCGGAAUCGCUAGUAAUCGUAGAUCAGAAUGCUACGGUGAAUACGUUCCCGGGUCUUUAACACACCGA
Molecule: ribosomal RNA, 437 nt
Filed under: bacterium BM15
Lineage: Bacteria
Description: bacterial SSU rRNA
Rfam family: Bacterial small subunit ribosomal RNA
Source: RNAcentral